RNAcentral lists this transfer RNA (84 nucleotides) under Sebdenia flabellata. Its description in RNAcentral is "tRNA-Ser". It matches the Rfam family "tRNA". From Rfam's summary of the family: Transfer RNA (tRNA) molecules are approximately 80 nucleotides in length. Their secondary structure includes four short double-helical elements and three loops (D, anti-codon, and T loops). Further hydrogen bonds mediate the characteristic L-shaped molecular structure. tRNAs have two regions of fundamental functional importance: the anti-codon, which is responsible for specific mRNA codon recognition, and the 3' end, to which the tRNAs corresponding amino acid is attached (by aminoacyl-tRNA synthetases). tRNAs cope with the degeneracy of the genetic code in two manners: having more than one tRNA (with a specific anti-codon) for a particular amino acid; and 'wobble' base-pairing, i.e. permitting non-standard base-pairing at the 3rd anti-codon position. The record is from RNAcentral. Lineage: Eukaryota; Rhodophyta; Florideophyceae; Sebdeniales; Sebdeniaceae.
GGAUAGGUGGCUGAGUGGUUAAAAGCAUCAAUUUUGAAAAUUGACAUAAUAAUCUUAUCGUGGGUUCGAAUCCUACUCUAUCCG